Molecule: unclassified non-coding RNA, 1114 nt
Filed under: Dermacentor andersoni
Lineage: Eukaryota; Metazoa; Arthropoda; Arachnida; Ixodida; Ixodidae
Description: uncharacterized LOC126547817
Source: RNAcentral
CCGCAUUAAAAUCAAAAGGCAUUAGAAUUAGUUUUACAUGCUACGGUACUUCACGGAGCUUAACAUCUCAGAAAGUAAUAAAUCAGUCUGAUUUCUUCUUUCUCUGCAGAUGGGGAGGAGGAUCAUCCGUUAUGCGAUAUUUCAAACGUGCGGACGUCGUCUCCAAUCGCAAGUGAUGCAGCCCGUCUCACGGAUGGGCUUGAAGCAGCUCGCCGAUCUAAAGACCCACAGCCGAGUAACACGCCUUCUGCCAGCGAGCGAGUUGUCGACCAAGCUGAAACUUCGGACGUCGGCGCAGAUAGAAAAACUCUGGCAAGCCUUCACUGGUCAGUAGACAACAAGCUGCCCGAGUUUUCGGCUUUCGUUCAGCCACUGCUCAAUGGAAUGGAAAUUACGGAAGAACAACACCGCAAACAGUCGAAACAACUUCGCCAUGAGGAGAUUCAUUUUCUCGAUGAAAACAAUGCAAUUCAGGACAAAAAUACUGCCCUACGUCGAUGGAAGUACUUUGCGUUAGGAGAGACACUCGCAAAUAUGUAUCCCAACAUGCUUUGGGAAAAAUCGCGGAAGGACGUAAGAGGACGUACAAAAGGACCAAAGGCUGUAUUUCUGUCGCGGCUUGCGGAGGCAAGACGGCACAGGGCACAACGACGAGAAGCAAGUGAAGCUUCCAAGAAGGCUCCACUCCAGGCCGCAGCUCUGUCCUUAGAGCCCCAGUUAAUCGACUCCGAAUCUGCGUCGAUAGAACUGGAAGUAUGUAUACUCAACAGGCUAUUCUAAAUUUGUGUGGGAGAGACGCUUUAAAUGCAAGUUCUUCUAAAUCUUAACCAAAGAAAAGUAAUCGCUAUUUUGAUGAGUGUAAUACAGAUUGUGAGUAAACGCCGGAGACAGCCAGCAUUUCCAACCCAAUAAGAGCGCAAGACUUAAUCAUUGAAAUAGAUGGUUUAUUGUGAUAUAUAUGCAGCUGAACACUGCGUAAUGCUUAAUGCAUACUGUAAUGGCUCUUUGCGAAUAGCGAACUAAGGACAGAAACCAAUAAUACGAAUUUAAAUCUGGACCUGGAUUUCGGUUGAGAAUUGUGAAAUAGCCGUGCCGUUCGAAAUAGAAGAGUCGG